Magallana angulata is the source of this 516-nucleotide long non-coding RNA. RefSeq lists it as uncharacterized. The transcript has 4 exons. The record is from RefSeq and is a predicted model, not a curated record. Lineage: Eukaryota; Metazoa; Mollusca; Bivalvia; Ostreida; Ostreidae.
CCUAACCCUUAUCGAUUUCCUGUUUAUCCUGUUAACGAAUGUCCUAGAAGCAAAAAUGAGUUUAAAACAGCAGCACAAAGAAGAAAUUGCACCAGAGGCUUACGAUACCUGUGUUCCCCUAAUAAAUACAUGUCAUCUCUAAUAGAAUUCUGCACAGACCGACCUAGAAGUCUUUAUGAAAAAGGCAACUGUGUGUUACUUGAAGGUACAGGUGACCUGGACCAUUACAGCUGUGUAGAAAAGUUCAAUAGUAGCUGUCCUUCGGAAUAUUAUUAUGACGAAGAUAUUUUUAAAUAUCCAGCAUGCCUAGAAAUUGAUAAGCAGCUCCGAUGUUUUGCUGCUGAUAAUGAUUGCAAUAAAAGAGAUUUACCUACAACAGAAACCCAUCUCAACAUUUCUAGAAUGGAAACUGUCGGGAAAGAAACUUUUAGAAGAGAAUCUCCUAAAGUACUUGCAAUUGUCUAUAUAAUUACUGUUGUUUCAGUUGGGUUUAUACUGAUCUGGAUUAUUUUUAAA